AUUGAACGCUGGCGGCAGGCCUAACACAUGCAAGUCGAGCGGAUGAAGGGAGCUUGCUCCUGGAUUCACCGGCGGACGGGUGAGUAAUGCCUAGGAAUCUGCCUGGUAGUGGGGGAUAACGUCCGGAAACGGGCGCUAAUACCGCAUACGUCCUGAGGGAAAAAGUGGGGGAUCUUCGGACCUCACGCUCUCAGUUAAGCCUAGGUCGGAUGAGAUAGUUGGUGGGGUAAAGGCCUACCAAGGCGACGAUCCGUAACUGGUCUGAGAGGAUGAUCAGGGACACUGGAACGGAGACACGGUCCAGAGCCCUACGGGAGGCAGCAGUGGGGAAUAUUGGACAAUGGGCGAAAGCCUGAUACAGCCAUGCCGCGUGUGUGAAGAAGGUCUUCGGAUUGUAAAGCACUUUAAGUUGGGAGGAAGGGCAGUAAGUUAAUACCUUGCUGUUUUGACGGUACCAACAGAAUAAGCACCGGCUAACUUCGUG
RNAcentral lists this ribosomal RNA (484 nucleotides) under uncultured bacterium. RNAcentral's name for it is "partial 16S ribosomal RNA". It matches the Rfam family "Bacterial small subunit ribosomal RNA", at positions 30 to 507 of the family's 1533-position model. The record is from RNAcentral.